GCCCGGAUGGCGGAACUGGCAGACGCAGGGGGCUUAAACCCCCCAGCCCCUCGGGGCAUGUGGGUUCGAGUCCCACUCCGGGCACCU
This 87-nucleotide transfer RNA is filed under the name Actinomycetota bacterium. RNAcentral describes it as "Actinobacteria bacterium tRNA-Leu". It matches the Rfam family "tRNA". From Rfam's summary of the family: Transfer RNA (tRNA) molecules are approximately 80 nucleotides in length. Their secondary structure includes four short double-helical elements and three loops (D, anti-codon, and T loops). The record is from RNAcentral. Lineage: Bacteria; Bacillati; Actinomycetota.